AGUAUGGGUGUUAUAUUUACUAAUAAAUGGCAACAAGCUCAUGGUGUGCCUCCACCAUGUCUUCCCAGAAAAAAACAAUAAAAAGGAUAGUAUGGUCGGAUCAGUUCUAGCAUUUAUUUGAUGUACUCUUGGUUUGCUUGCUGAAAUUGUCAUAGAAAACCGACUUUUUAUCUCCUCUGAAUACCCUACGCAGGUACAGAGGCAUUGGGAUAAGGAUUGAAGAUGAAAUCCUUAUCACAGAAUCUGGUUAUGAAGUAAGUGCUCAGCUAUUCUUAACUUUCGAAAUUGGUACUGCCCUUGUACAUCAUAUUAAAAAAUGCCGCAAUCUCCUUCGUCUAGAGAUCUUGUGAUUACAUCUGAGGCCAAAGUUUUUGCAUGCAUGCAUUAUUAGAUGGAGGUUUUUUUUUUUAAAAAAAAAAACAGUUUGUCCUGGUAGUAAGCUGUGGUUCUAAAAUAUUGUCUCUGGGUGUAGGUACUUACAGGAUCACUACCAAAAGAGGUAAAGCAAAUCGAGUCUUUGCUGAACAAUUUCGGCAACAGAAUGGAAGGGGAGGCUUAUAACACAGUGAGGGCUGUUUGCAACUGAUGGAGUAAGAGAGGAGCAAAAGUGGAAACUGCAAGGCAGAGUUUCUCUGUUGCUUGAAACUCGGAAAAUCCCAUUCAAGGAUCGGGUAUAAGGGAUAUAGUUCGAUUAUUAAGGGUAUUUUGUCCCUCAUCUCAGAAUACCGUCUGAAUUCUCCUCCUAGCUCCUCUUGUAUAAAACGUUUCGUUCAAAGAGAAAAUAGAAGGCCAUUCUUUUCCUUCCCUGUUAGGCCUUUCUUUGCAUUUUUUUUUGGUUGCCUUCAUCUUCCGAUUCUUCCCUUUUUUUUUUUUUUUUUUUUUUUUUUUUUUUGUAUUUUUAGCAUUCGUGUUCUCACUUUUACUUCGAUUGCAUUUCUUUCCUGUUUGAAUAGUAUUUAUAAUCUUAGUACAUAAUGGACAGGGUAUAGUUCAGAAGUAAUCGUCAGUUUGUAAAAGUUAGGAGGCUGCCAAUUUAGUUUGCUUAUGAAGAGCACUAGGCUAUGCAGUCAACCCAAAGGAGGGCUCCAUGCUCUUAUCCUUUGCUCUUUUGGACAUCAUAUAAUAUCUAGUUCACUCUUCUUUGCCAGAAACGAAAAAAAACUAUGUGUUCCCUGAAAUUAUUUCCUCAUUUAGAAUGAAAAUUUUGUUUCUUCUACAUGUAUCAAGAAAACUUUGAUCAUCCUGCCAAAGAUGAAAAUGCACUCAAAUGAAACCAAUAGAUGAAUGAAUGAAAGGGAGACUUGCGGUACAGAUCUAGGUAAGAGCUUCAUGAACGAAAAGGACAGUUCUGUUGCAAGUCAUAAACUAGACUAUACAUGGUCUCUGCAUGUCUAAUAUGUUUAGCAGCGUGUUGGGCAUACACAGUUGCAGAAACUAAAGGAUGUUACGCAAUAAACUCCAGCAGACGAAUGCUAGUAUCCCUCCCUCAAGUUUCCCACUUUGCCUUGCCUUACCUGCUCAAGAAAACCACCGUUUAUAGUCUAGUGAUGGCCCAAAAAAUUCAUGAUGAUGCAUCUUCGGGCUGCGGUCCUUGCAAUUUGAUUUUGAUCCCUACCCUUUUGCCAUAUUAUACACUACUGGUCAAUUCUCCUGUGUAAGUGCACAUGUUCACAUAUACAUGUAUGUUUUUAUGUAUGCGCAGGUGGCUAUCAAUCAUUGGGAAGAGUGACUAGUAACCUUCGGUAAUUUGAAAUGGAACCAUUAUUCCACAUACAGAUAUUGGCAACGGGUUGCAAAGAAUUGAAUGGAUAGGACCGGAAUUCACCCUUGAGCAACUUGUUAAACAACUGCGAAACUGAGGGACCACUAUUCAUUGAAAUGAAUUAACGAGUUUCACCGCAGUGAGAAAGGAAUAGAUGUACGUAAUUAACACCUUUUGCAACAAAAACUAUCAAAACAAAAGGUUUCCUUGAAAAUUAAGGGGGAAAAAAAAUUUAAGGGAUAGUUUCACUUGGUACUUUCUCAAAUUUUGAAAAAUCUCACUUGCCUUCUCUACUUUAAGCUUUUUCCAACAUUUGAAAUCCACUUCAAAAUAUAAUAUUAAAAAACUCAUUUUGGGAGAGAGAAUACAAUUUUUUUUUUUAAUCAAAAUUUCCCGUUUCUUGUUAUUUCUUAAUUGUCAUAGCACACCAAAUUUAUCUCUUAAUUUUUGUAAAUUGGUCGAUAUAGUUCUUUGAUGAAAAUUUAAAAGUUGAUAUCAAGAUCAAAAAACCCUUUAAUCAUUUUUGUGUCAUUGCUUCGUACGAGGAAUGUUAAAUUACUUAUAUGAUUUUCUUAAAAUAACUUGCAAUAGUUGACAACUACGAUAAUACCUUUUUGCACUAGUUUGAAAACAAUGCAAAGGAACUUAUAUAUAAUUUUUAGCAUGUCUUAUCUCUUUAGUUUUCAAACCAUCAAUUUGGACAAAAAAAUUUAGAAAAUUCAAAAAAAAAAAAUGUAAAUGAUUUAUAGAACUUCGUAAAGAAAAUAUUAUCCUUGUAACUUGCAAAACUUCAUAUAAGCUUUCAAAUACUAACUCUCAGAAUUAAAAAAACACACUACUAUAUUUUGUCCGAUACUUUUUGUUUAUUAUUAAUAUACUCAUGUUUUUGUAAUAAAAAAUAAGUCAACAAAAGGGCGAAUUUGGAAUGAGAUUAUAUUUACUCUUCCAAAAUGAAUUUUUUAAUAUUAUAUUUUAAAAUACGUUGUAAAUGAUACAGAAAAGUUUAAAGUAAGGGAGGUAAGUGAAAUUUUUUAAAAUUUGAGAUGACCAAGUCAAAUUGUUAGAAACUUCAGGAGGGGGUUUCCGAAAUUAUCCCAAAAAUUAAAGAAGGUUGUCCUGCCCAUGUAGCAGGCUCCUAUAUCUAUCAAACUGGACAAUCAGCAGGGGCCAUGGAUUAAAGAGCUGUCUUCAACCUUAAUAAAUUAAGAAUGGUUAGCAUGUUAACUUUGAGGGCCAACAUAUACAUACAUAUCUGUGGAGGUUGAAGACCAUGGCCAUGCAUGCAUUAAAACUGUGAAGAGCUAAAUAAUCCAGCUACAUACAUACCUAAGCCAACUGAUACCAAGUCAAAUUGUGAGAGUGGUCAGUUGGUUGGUCCAACAAUUACUGUGUUCCACAUUGAAAGGUCGGCAAUGGUAGCUGAAGUGCAAGGAGCAGAAGAGUUCAAAGUGACAACAGAGAGAGAACUGGUUGGUUUCACUUUCAGUCUUUCACCAUAAUUAUAACCACAUACAUGUAAUGUACCUUGAUUUGUAUCUGAUAUAUGUCAGUAAAAUUUUCAUUCAACGUGAAAUCGACAGCCAAAUUAAAUAGAGAAAUGGACGGGGUUUCCACCUUCCAACUUCUCAUAGACAGCAACUAGCAUUUGUCAACCAUGCAUGGUCCAAUAUCUAUUAUUGAAUGCUUGACAAAUAAUUAUCUAUUAAAUAUAUCUAUUACUUUGUGAGGUUGUGUUGUUGAACAAUACAACUAGCAUCUUUCUGAAUCACUAAAUUAUCCAAAAAAAAAAAAAAUGCAAUUAUCUAAAUUCUUGGAAUUGAUGAAAAUUUUCGUUGACAGAGAGAAGUAUGUAAAAUUUGUUCGAGAAGAGGCUCCAAAUCCUUCCAAAAUAUAAGGGAAUAACAGAAAAUUGGGAAGUUUAAUCAAGAUCUCACAAUCAUCAAAAACAUUUCAUGAAAUAUUAGUUUCACAUUUUAGAGACAGUAGUAUGUAUAUAUGAAUCCUCCUAGAUGUGUGAGGUGUCUUUCCAGCUUUCACAAAUUGUACUUUUUGUUAAUACCAUAAUCAAUGUGUAAUUAAUGCUUCCAAAUUAGAAUUGCUUUUUGAGAAACAUACUAUUAUUCAAAGGUAGGAAGACCACAAAAGAUCAAAUGACAGUCGCAUUUGUUUUGUUUAUGAAACUCUACAAAGUUGGGUUAACCCUCCCAACUACAUCACACAUGGAACAUUAUGACUGGUUGCUCCUUCCAACCACCUCCUUCCCUCUUAAUUUCCUCUCAACUUUCCACCUAGAACAAUAAAUUGUGAUGGGAGGAUGAUGCAUAAACUGUCCCACUGCUACAGGCAAAUUGCAUUUCCAGCCUUCCCUCCUACUCAAAAUUUCUUGAUUUCGUCUCCAAAAAGCUACGUGAGCAUGUGAAAAUCAUAAAUAGAUUAUGCAAUCAAGAAAAUGCAGAUGUUGAUUAUGCAUUAUUAAUUGUACUGUUAUUUAAGAAACCAACUGCAUUAGGUUGGAAGAGUUUAAUUAUGUGGUGGCUUAAUGGUGGAUAGAAAGCUAAGCUUACAGAUAAUUGACUUAUCGCUUUGUAGAUUUGAAGUUUACUUGUUUAGUUAAACUUGCUUUAGGUUUUAAGUGGUAAAAUAUUAGUCUGAAGAAACAAAAUGUCCUUGAGCUCCUUUUCCUCUAUAUACGUAUACUCAAGAUGAAUUGCAAAUUGAAUUCCAUUUCUUAAUAAUUUAGGGCAAGGAAAAGUCACUUGGACCAUUCAAUAGAUAACGUACAUUUGAUAUACAAAUAAACUUUUUGUGGUAAAUUUCAUUGAGAGUAGGGGUUUGCAUGAUUUUGAGGAAACAUAGAAUAACACAAGAAAUGGUCUUCACUCAAGAACUUGACCUAGAAAUAAAAUACUAUCAGAAUUCACUAAUUAAGUACAUUUAUUAGCUUGCAUGUGACUUGACUGCUGCAUAACUAUUCUAGAGGAAAUUUGAUGAUUCUCGAUGGGGGUGUUUUGGCAGUUUUAGACAACUCUAAGGGUAAACUGCUAGAAUCACAACUAUAUUUAGCCCUGCAGCUUUGUCAAAUCUCCCGUUCCAUUUUUAUCCAAGUAUAGCUAACAAUUAGAAGAAAAAAAAAAGGCUAGUAGGAAAAAGAAGGGGAAAAGAAAUCAUGCCUUUGGUGACAGAUGAGAUCAAAGCAAGUGCAUCAGAGAUGUACAAUGGAAAUGAAAUUUGCCAAGAGAAAUCAAAAUUCUUGCUCAAAGAAGUGGGAUUGCCAAAUGGUCUUCUACCCAUGGAAGACAUGGAAGAAUGUGGACAUGUGAAGGACACAGGCUUUGUUUGGCUGAGGUCCAAGAAAAAAACUGAGCACAAGUUUCAGAAGAUCAGCAAGCUUGUUCAGUAUGCGCCUGAAGUCACAGCAUAUGUUGAGCAGAACAGGAUCAAGAAACUCACUGGAGUGAAGGCUAAGGAGCUUCUGAUGUGGGUAACAAUUAACGAGAUUUAUGUGGAUGAGCCCUCAACUGGGCAGAUUCAUUUCAAGACUCCUGCAGGGCUGUCAAGGAAUUUUCCGAUUGAUGCUUUUCUGGUGGAGGAAACUCAGAAACAUGGUGUCAAGGAAGCUGUGAAGGUUGCUGCUGAUGCUGGUUCCGCUGCCAUUGAAAAUGGAGUUGAUGCUGCAGGCAAGAAAGUUGACGAACAGAACAAAGAAGUGACUAAUGGAGCUGUACAAGUGAAGGAGGUCUAAGACAUAUUGCUGCUGAUCAUAUCAUCUCAAGCUAUAACCAACUUCAUAUGAAUUAAUUAUUAUCAUGUUUUAAGGUGGAUGAAUGACCAUUUUGAUGUACCCUGUGAUCAAUGAUAUGAUGAGGUUCAUGUUUUAUGUUUAUGUCUGUGGUUCACAUUUGCUAUAAAUUUAAUGGAUAUAGUAUUGCUUGAUGUUGUUAUAUAUAGAGAAUCAUUAUUCAAAUUAUUGAGAUGCAUCCCAACAUGAUCUGAAAAGAACGAGAGUUCUACAUUUGUGCUGAAGGUACCAUUUCAAUAUUCAGACAAAUAUUUUACCAUGGGAAUCUGAUUGUCCUUUUUUUUAACCCCAAGAAUGUUAAGCAAGGAGCAACAGAUUAUCCUCCUGGAAAAAUUGAAUUCUGCUAAUUAUUACCUCUCUUUGAUCAAAAUACAGAACAGAAAAAAGUCAGUAUCUUUGUCCUUUUGUUCUAUUUUGAUGAACCCUUCAAACUAUUGUAUUGUUUUUAACUUCUAAUCUUUAAAUUGCUGGAGGCAGGCAUGAAGUUCAAGAUACUUGUACGCCCUUGAGCUUUCUGUACUUGAUUGGAAAUGCUAAUCGUUUAAGAUAUUAGGUUUCAGAACACAGCUUGUUAUUAAAUAUACCUUUUUCUGAGCAACAAUCAAUAAAAUUUCAAUAUGAAUUGCUUAAAUUUUUUCGGAUUUUCCUGUGAUUUAUGCCCAUUUUAUCCCCUUGCAUUAUGAAUUGCAUUUGCUUGGCGUAAAAACCGCAAUGCUUGAGUAUGAAUAGCAAAGAAAGUGACUUAUCUUCCUCAUAAUUGCCAGAAAACCUAGAUACACAAAUUCUUAAUUGUACUCCAAAAAAAUCUAAAUCCAGAGGCCCAGGAAUACUUGUAUGACUAAUUAAUGCGUAUAUGUAAAAAGGGAUAAUUUCAGAAACAUCCCUUGAGGUUUCCAGUAAUUAUAGAGAGCUCUUCUUAAGUUUCAAAAAUUACACCUACCUUCCUUGCUUUUAAGGUUUAUGACUAUCUAAAUUUUUGGGAGGUUUUGAAUUCAAAACUUUCUACUUAUUAUUCCUCUCAUCUUAUCACAUUAAAAAAAGGACUAGUUAGCUAUAUCUUGUAACUGUAAAAUUAGGAAAUUUUUUUAUUUUUGUGGUCACAAAGUUCGGCAAAUCAACCAGCUUAAUUUGUUCAAAAUAAAGGCUAUUUUCUAGGGUUAUGAUAAUGCAAGAAGAUAAUUUGAAUAUAUAUUUUUUUCAAAAUAGUUAAAAGUUAAUAGGGAAAAUUUUAGCACCAUGAUAUGAUGUAAUUAUGAAAAGAAUUAAUUUUAUAUAUACUGACUGUAUAUACACUAAUAGGUAUGAAUACAUGUUACAUGUACAAAAAUUGGAGUUUAAAUCCAAAUUGGAUUCUAUAGCGUACAUUCAUAGCCUAUACAAGUAUACACUAUCAAUGUAGACAAGUUUAGACGUCAUGAAAAAUAUUAAACUUUUGUUCACCGACUGCUAAAACAAUCUAGAGAUCAACAUAAUUUUCUAUAGACCAUAAUGUAGUUUACCUAAACUAGCUAGCUGUAAUGGAGAAACAAGUCAAAAACUUGCAAACCUUGAACAAAUCAAGGUGGUGGAUGGCGAGUGGCAAAGUUGCGUGCCAGACUUUCUGCCAUUUUUUAAUUUAUGGAAGGAAGUGCAAGUAUUCAGACAUGUAUGAUUGAAAUAUAGGAAGGGCAGUCUAUUUCAACCAAAUUUCUUGUUUGUUCGUUUUGAAGCUUUUAUCUUUUUGUUAUGGGAAUAAAUAAAUGUAUGUUUCGAAUUCCAUAGACAAAUUCGAGAAAUGACGAUAGAAAAGAAACUGAUACAUAAAGAAUAUGCAAAAGGAAAUCUAUAUGUCUUUUCCAAACUUCUCUUUUAGUGCAAAACGUUGUCGUACAAAUAUUAAAGGAUUUAUCUAGCGGGAUAUUUAUAAGGUAAUUGUUAGUCCACUUAAAUUAUGAUUAAGGAAAUUAAGAGUUGCAUUAAUAAAUAGUUGUAGAUUCAUACUUUUUUUCCGCACAAUAUUUUGAUUAGAAAAAAAUAUUAUUUACACUCCAAUUUUUGUUAAUUGUACUGCAACAAUUUGUUUUAUCAUAUAAUUUAAUAAAUAAAAAGCAUAUAAUAAAAAUGAUAAUCAGGAUAUGAUUAACAAAAAUAGGAGUGCGAAUAACAUUUCGUUCUUAUCAUUUCUUAUCCAUCCAUCGUUAUAUAAGUGGGAAUUAAGGCCCGAACGACUCCUAAGGCCCAAAAGGAUUAGGUGGUCAGCUUAAUGCUCUGUCCGGAACUGGGUCUCCGUUGUAUCGAUCCAUUAAGUUCGUAAAAAGGUCCACAUGUCCAGCCAAUGAUGGGCUACCUGGUGAUAUUGAUGUAUUCAUGGGCGGUGGACAAGUUCGAUGAUAAGACUUGUGUUUGGGAAGCCAAUUUGACGUAAAUGUAUGAGGCUUGAUCCAAGACAACAAUGCGGUCAACUAGGGCUUGAUAGUUUUGUUACAAUCCCAUACUCGGCUUUCAAAUCAUAGAUUUGUAAAUUAACUUAAAAAAGCUUGAUUUAGUUGUAGUAAUUGUACAAGAGAAGCAACAUUAUACAUACUAGUGCUCAAUGCACACCUCAAAAAAUGUACUAUAAUAUUUAUGGUAAUAUAUUUUAAAUAAAAUUUUUAUUAUUGAAGGAAACUAUAAUCUUUUAAAUAUUUUUUGGUAAAAUAGUUUUAUAUUGAUAGUUAUAAUGUUUAUGAAUAGUUAUGUUGAAAACAUAUAUUUAAAAGUAAAAAUAAUCAUGAGUAGUUAUAGAUAGUUAAAGUAAAAGUAACUUUUAUAAGCACAAAUACGAAAGUUUAUAAAGUGACGAUAAAUGUUAAUUCCAGAUCCCUCCCUCAACCUUUAUAUGCAGUAUAGAUGUGUGUGUGUAAACAGACACAUACACGCACAAUAACUCCAAUUCUCAUUACUUUAAUUUAGCCAAAUCCCUGUAGAACACAGGUGAUAAACAGGAAGGAAUUUCACUAAAAUCCAUUCAGUUCUAUACGCCAUCCCUCUGGCAAAUCGACCUCUAAACAAUGUGGAACCUCAUCGCUCAACAUAAAUACCGAUCCUUUCUUGGUAUACAUAUCCGUUUAGGAGGAAAAUGAUCCAAACAAUAGGUUGGGCACAUUAAUGAUAGAACAAUCAAAGCCACGCCCCUUAGGGAGUACCACUUCCAAUACUAAUGAUACACGUUAUCAAUGUUUAUGGUGCAAGUCAUUAAUGUAUUAGGAGUGCAGAUUUAGGUCAAAGGGAAGUGAAUUUAGCCUGUCCCUUUAUAUUAUUCUCACGUACUCUUUUUAUUAUUAUUAUUUGGUUCAUUGAAGAUUCUACGAAAAGGAGGAGCAAAAGCAAAGAAUUUUUUUUUUUUUUAAUGAAAUAACCAAUGUUAUCAUCCCAAAAGUUGGGGAAGAAACCUUCAUCACCUAAUUUAUGUUCCUACUUGAACUAGGUAAGGUAUUGGGGACUUCCCAUCCCAUAUGUCUUUGUCUAUAGAGUAGGAUCUACGACGGUAAUGCUUGCCCAAGAAUUCCCAACGACUUAGAUCACCAUAUCCAUAGGCUACUAAAUUCAAAGGAUCAAUUCCAAACAACCUUAAUGAUCGAAUUAAAUGUGUGACUUGCAUCUACAUAUAUUACUUUCAUUACUUACAAUAAUAAUAAGUGCGAGCAAAUCCUUGGUCGCACGCAUCUACCCAAUUUCAGAGCCAAACAUGUGAAACAUGUAGGAUGGUUCUGCCAAUUAAACGAGCAGUUGAAGUUCGCUAGACAUAUUGAAUAGUUCAGAUACAUGUCAAUUAAUUGAGAGACAUACCUACCCUAAUCAGUGAAUUAGGAUUGCAGUAGGCAUUCGUUCCCCAAGUUUGACUGUGUAGAUUAGCCCCAAAAAAUAAUUUCUGAAGUUCAAGUCAUGUAAUGUAAAUUGUUUUCAAUGCCUUGUGUGAGAUCCACAAAAAAAUUAUUCUAUAACUAUAUUGCGUUUAAAGUUAUUUGCAUCUUGAAGAAGUGAACUUACACUUUAUUGAAAUGGACAAAACUAUUUCAGAGUGAUUGCACUGACAACUGUUUAUGUCACCUUUUGGAUAUCAUGACCGAAAAGAAUUAAAUCAGAGAUAAUAGCAUUUUAUUAAGAACAAAAUUGAAGUUGAAACCACAACAGUGCAUCUGAUAUUGUUUCUGUAGUAGAGAUAUAGGUAAAAUAAAUGAUUUAUAGAUACAAAAAAUAUAUAGAUAUUUGGAGACAGAGAUAAAGAGGAUGUUGCCUAUAAUACAUACCUGCACUGUUGAAGCACAAGGGUCCAAUAGCAAGAUCCAUCCCAUGAUGAGUGUUGGACAGUAGCAGAGCCAGAACAUUUGUUUAGAGAUGAAAUAACAUAAGUUUAUACUUAUAAUAUGUUGGUUCAAAAAUUUUUGGAACAAUUAAAUAUUUGUUAUAAAAAAUUAAUUUAUUCAAUAAUCAAUAUUACAAAAUUUUUAAAAACAAAUAAUCUGAGGCUUUGGAUUUAUUAGUUGCCAGGUCAUCUGAUGGAAUAAAAUUGUAUAGUAAUUAAAAUUAUAGAUAUGAAUACAAGAUUUAUGAAUAAUUUAUACACAAUUGAACUUCAAAUGAGUGUUUGAUUCACUUAUAAUUAAAGAUAGUUGAAUAUUUAAAUAAAGUUCAGUAUAACAUAAAUAACAUUUAUUAGACAGUGAAAGGAGAUGAAUGAGUUGGGUGGUUUGGGUGAGGGAGUGUAAAUAAGAGGUUUCGAGUUUGAAUUCUCCUGUACUAUAUAUUUUUUUAAAAAAAGUAAUAGAAAAAGUAACCUAUAAUAUGUUUUCGUUCAAGGUUCCAUUACUGUCAAAUUUCAAAUGGGACAAAAGCAAAACAAUAAUAAAAUAUCUAAAAAAAAUUUAGACUAUUCUAAAGUUUCUAGUAAAAUAUCUAAAAAAAUUUUUAGACUAUUCUACAGUUUCUAAUCGCACCCCCUGGGUUCAAUGUGGCUCUGCCAAUACUCUAUGACUAGAUCCAGUCAUGAUCUAGAGUUCCAAGGGCAGCUGACCAAUUUGACGUACACCAAAAAAUGUAGAAUGUUUAGAGAUGGCAAAGGUAAAAUUUGAUGUCUGUUGGAUACCCGACCCAACGAUUAAUUCAAUUGGACGAUCAAUGGGUUAUUUGUUAGGGUUUGAUAUCAACGAAUAGUUAUCGAAUAACUCAAUACGAUUUAGUAAGAAUAUCCUAAAAAACCCAAUAGUCGAGACCCAAUGUAUAUACAACUAACUGAAAACAUUAAAUGGAGACAAUUGUGAUUAAAAAUAGAAGAUUGUGGACUUGACCUUUCAUAAAAUGUUUGAUUUUUCUCAUGUUGGUUAUACAGUUUUGUCCAAGUUUAAGACUCAACAUAGUGUAUUAUUAUUAUUAUUUUUUUUUUUGUCUACACAGGGGUGUUCGGGUCAAUUCUUAUGGGGCCCGACUAAUCUCCUAAGGAUACAUGUAUUGAGUAAUCCCCUAAGACUCAACAUAGUGUAUUAGUUUACGAUGAUACAUGUAUUGAUUUUAGUUUAUAAAAGUUAAUUUUCUUUUUUUGAACUAUUCAUAUUAGCAUUCGCUAAUAUGAAAAUUAAAAUUCGUAGCAUUCGCUAAUAGCAAUUGAUAAAAAACUUGAUAUAGUUGUAAGGUCAAGGGCCAAAAAAAUUUGCAUGCUCUAAAUCGCCUCGUUCAUGCUUUAAAGCUUGAAGGCUUUAGUCUUUUGAGUUUUUUGUUUGUUAUUUGUGGUUAUAUAUUAAUUGUACCAUACUACCCUGUGUUGUCAAUAAAAUGAUGGAGUUUCUUCUCUUGACGAAAAUGCAUAAUUGAAUUGUAAGUUUUGCUCAAAUUAAGGUAGUAAGUUAAGUUAACAUAGUAAGUAUUGUUAUAAAAAUGGUGCAAGUUAAAGGGGCGCUUCAGCACGAAAAAUUGGCAAGGAACGUUCAUAUUCAAAUUGACAAACUAUAUGCAUAAAACCUCAAAACAGCAAAAAGUGACAAAUUAUUCUCUCCAUUUGUAAGUUUACAUGGCCGUUUAUUGGAUAACCAAACACAAAAAAACUGACCCAACCCAUAAUGUAAAUUGCUAAGAAUCCAUUUAGAUUCCCUAUCACUUCACCGAUAAUUAGCUCAGUUAAAAUCUUUAGACUAUUCUCCAAGACUUUUGAAUGGCAUAGAGCAAUUCGAAACCUCUAAGGCUUGUUACAACCUACCAAAAUGUUUCAAGAAACCUCCAUGCAUUGGUUCUAACCUCCAUGACCUCCUAUCCGUUCAUUAAAAUAGACCGUACUCCUACUAUCGGUCCUGAUUUUUCACUGAUUUUUUUUUUUAUAGGUAGUAGUGCAUGUUUGGCCGACUGCGGGACGAACACAUGCGGACCGUGUCAGGCUUUGUGUUCAUAUGGGCCUUUCUUGAUAGCGGAGCACUUUAAAUCUUAAUAUUUAGGAUAGAGCAAGAUUUUCAAGAUAAUACUGUAUUACCUUUUUGGCAUAUGACGUACGUUAGGUGAAAAGAUAAUUGAAAAUUAAAAACAAAAAAUUGAUUGAGAAACAUUUUUAUGAUACCACAAAUUUUUUUUUUUAAAAAAAAUAGACUGUCCGAACAUUGUUUGGCUUACAUCAAAAUCAUACUCAUGUAUUUAUAAGAAUAAGUUGCGUAUGAGCAAAUGCUUUGCAGGAUGCAUUUAAAAAAUUCUAAAGCUAAAUGUGUAUCCGUGUGGGAUAGUUAAGUUGCAAUUUAUGAGAUAAUGACUCUUACUGAAACUUCUGAUACAUGUUAAUUAAUUUAGACAAACUACGUUUUCAAAUUCAAUUAUGCUUGGCUUGCAUCAGAAUUAAUUUACCUAUUUAUUUGUAAGAAUAAGUUGCGUAUGAGCAAAUUCCUUAUAGAUGUACCUAGCAAAUUGAAGAGCUAAAUGUGUGCCCGUUUUGGAUGGUUAAAUGCAGUUGCUGAGAUGCGUCCUCAAAGUAUAUUUUCUAGUCCGUCAUUGAAGACAUAUCCCAUUUUGAACGUUGGAUAGGUGCUGCAGUCAGUUACAUAUAAAUGAAGCAAUUUCGUGUACGUUAGAAAGGCAAAUGGUUGGAUAGGUGCAUGCAAAUCUCAUUUUUCUUUCGUUUGAGUAGGUUAUUACUUGUUUUGGCAGAUGGAUGUAAAUCGAUGUGAAACCAUCAUUUUAAUGGGUUAAGUUGGAUAUUCAUUUAGAUAUCCAAGACAAAUCUUUCUGCUCAUCCAAAUUCAUUUUUGCAAUAUGGUUUUGGAUUAAAAAUUGACUUUUCAUAGACGCAUUUACUAGUGAUUCAGGCUGUACUGUACCCAACUAAAGCUUGAGUUACAUAACUACAAAUGUCAAAUAGUCGAUCUUCAUGGGACGUUGACAUGAUAUCUCUUUGAGAAUCAGAGUUAAAAACAAAUUUUGAAGUUAAAAGGAGCAUUAAUUACUUGAACCAAAUUUUGCUCUUAUAAAUAGCUAUGUUGCCUAGCAUAAACAAGAAUUCAGGUCAAUGAAAAUGUCUCUAGUCACACAAGAGAUAAGGGCUAGUGCAUCAGAAAUUUACAAUGAGAAAGAGUUGUGCCAAGUGAAAGCAAAAGUGUUUCUUAAAGAAGUUGGGCUGCCAGAUUGCCUACUUCCAUUGGAAGACAUCGAGGAAUGCGGAUUCGUGAAAGAAACUGGCUUUAUUUGGCUUAAACGGAAGCAAAAGAUUGUGCGAAAGUUUGAAAAGAUUGACAAGCUUGCCCAAUAUGCAGCUGAAAUCACAGCCUAUGCUGAACCAAAGAAGUUAAAGUCCGUGACUGGACUGAAGGCCAAGGAGCUCUUCUUGUGGGUUACUGUGAGUGAUGUAGAAGUUGAAGAUGCUCCAACUGGAAAGAUCUCUUUCAAGUCUCCUCUAGGGCUGACAAGAACUUUCCCGCGGUCGGCUUUUGAGGUGGCGGAAGCUGAAGAGGUUAAGACAACAAAGAAUGAUAGAACUGACAAUGAAGUGAAAUCAAGGGUUUAAGUUUGCGAUUCAUAUAUGGCAACUUGAACAUUCAUAAGGUAAUUAGAGUCACCUACAAGAUAUUUGAGUGCACUAUAUAUAUCACCUAAUUCAUGCUUUAGAGCAUGAAGAUUUAAUCUUUUGAGUCUGCGUUUGUUCUGUGUGGUUUUGAAGACUUCUUUGUUUACUCUGCAGGGUGAUUGCGGUGUUAUACUACUCUAUGUUCUCAAUGAAGCAAUAGAGUUUCUUCUGAUAAAAUUGCAUUAAUUGAAUGGUAAAUCCAUCGUUUGGGUUGCGUAGCAAAACUACCACUCACUCUUUGCUGCCUUCCAUGCACUAAAGUAUAUAUAGGUCGUGUCUCACAAUCCAAUUCAACACUUAAAUUUAUGAAUUUAGAUCUUAACACGUUCUUUGAUAAUCAAAAGUAGAGCAUCUGAAUUAAUUAAAUGAUAUAGAAUUUUCUAGACAAACUUACUUCCAAAAAUAAAGUAUAAGCUAUUCAUUUAUCACUUAAUAUGAUAUACACUCAAAUGUAUCGUAUAUAGAACUUAACAAUUCAGUAAUUUAAUGAAUUCAGAUUUCAUAUUUCAAUUUUUAAUUUUUAAAUUUCAGUUUUAUCAAAUGCAGCCUAAGUUGACCAAUGUUUCUCUUAUUUGGCUUGUGACUUUGUUGGUAUAUAAGAAUUCCAGCCUCUAAUGCUUAAUCAGCAUCAACUUUCGUCCAACUUUAGACAACCACGAAUCACUCAAGUCUCGAUCAGUUCUUAGAAGAAUCUAUUUUGAAAAUAAAAAUUUGCAACUUCAUCCACCAAAAAAAAAAAAUGUUUACACUACAGUGAAAUAACGAGUUUUUCGUGCUUUGCCUAAGGAAAUUAAUUUUAGAUCAUAAAGCCAUUUAACGUACAAGUAACUCGAUCACAAGCUCGAAUUGAACUAUCAGAGGGCGGCAAAGAUAGUAUUUAAGGGCUGAUCAUGGUGGUUGAUUUAUACAAGAGGCAGUAAAACAAAUGUUUGCAAUGCCAUCAUGUAUGUAAGGAGGCAUGGACUAACACCACAAAAUUAACACUAAGACCAUGCUUAGCAAUUUAGUAAAAAAAAAAAAUUUUGCUUAGUAUUGUUGCACUGACCCCAGGCACAAGCUACAUAAAGAAACAAGGCAGUGACUUUUUUUUUCCUCCCCUUUUUCAUGAACUUGCUGCUCGAGUUCUUGUCUCUGUGGUUUAAGCCUCAGCCUCAUACAAGCAAACAAUGACAACAGUCAGAGGCACUGAGAUGUGACUCAAGGACCUUUCAAGUUAAAUUCUAUCCAAUUUCAUCAGGUUGAUGUAUUGCGAUUUUUUGUGUAAAUUUAUACAAUUUUAGUAUAAUCGUGGAUUUUGUACCAACUCAAUUAUAUGAGUGAUGAAAUUCACAUUUACGUUAAAACUAUACAAAUUUACACCAAAUGUUAUCUAUAUACUACUAUAUAUAAAGGUUAAGGAAAGGAAGGGGUUUGGAGUUAACAUUGGGGUUAACACUUAUUGUCACUUUAUGAAUUUCCUAUGUAAAUUCACCAUGCCUGCUCUUUAUCUUAUUUACCAUUGUACAAGCCUCCCAGAAUCGUUUGCAUGCAACGUGCAGUUAAAAAAUGAAAAGCCACAAGCAAGAUAGUUACCACUGCAUCAUAUACUUAGAAGUUUCUGCUUAGGGUUAGUUAGUUAAACCACACAAGGUAAUGCAUCAGAGAAGAGAAAAGCAAAUAGGCAGGUCCUUCAUCUCUAGUGUCCUCAUUCAGACUUCAGAGGAUAGUAAAAAUAAGCAAGAAUAUCUGAAUAUAUGAAUCAUGCAACUGAAUACAUAUACACGAUAUUUGUUUGAAGACGAAAAAUCACACAGGCAGGAUGUCGUCUUGCUCCGCCAGAUAGUCAGAAAUUCAGAGCCUGGUGAAAUGAUCAAAUGAACCAAUGAGUCAAUACAUAUAGGAUGUGAUCCCGUUCACUGGUUAAUGAACAUAUGAUGUUAUUCGAGGAAAUCAUAAAGCAAAGCACUUGAAAUUCAGAUUUUCAGGAAACCAUAAGGAAAGCAAGGAGAGAUAUUCAACUUCAGAGAACUUCUUCCUUUUUUUUUUUUUUUUUUUUUUGGGUGUCUUUUUUAGUUAAAAAAAUAGAAAGAUAAACUUCAGAAAGUUAAAUGGAGGUUUCUCCUGGAAGCAAUUACCUAGGAAGGAAUGGCCCACUUGCCAUCAAUCCACUCCUGGUGCUGCCUCAGGUCAGAGUGCUUAAACUUCACAGCAUCUUCAGUCCCCGGAAAAUAGAUUAUAUACUUUUUCUCCCUAAGAACUCUGGAUAUUACUCCUUCCCACCAACAAUCAUUGAAAAGAGCGUCUACUUUGUCAUUCACUUUGAAACAGUCGACCAAAGCAGUUUCCGGUGGAUGUGGUCGUAUGUUUAUACUAGCAACCUCCUCUUUCAAGAAUUCUGUGUCUUCUUCGUUUCUCAGACUCCGAUACUGAAUCAGGUAUUUGUCCUCAUCAAAUCGUUUGAUGACAGUUGCAGGAAUCCAAGCACCUUGAAAACCGUCUUCAUCUAUUCGAACUUCAACUGUUGCCCCUCGGCUAAAUUUCUCCUGUACUGUUUCUUUGCCAGGCUUCCGUUUGGCUGGUAAUAUGGACACUUUCUGCAAUCCGAAAAACAGUAAAUUUUUAUGCUAAAAUUGGACUGAUUAUAAACAAACAGAGAAAUACAAGUAGCCAUGCGACAGUUAAGACAUCUGGAAGGGCAGGCAAGGAGUAAAAGUUAGAAGAUUGGAGUUCAAUAUUGGCAAAGAGGGAAGAGGUUGGCAUAUGUUGUUCCAAAAAAAAAAAAAAAGUGGUAAACGCAAUGAAGCAGUCAGGAGAACAUCAAGGAAGCAACACGUGAAAAACUGUUGGAUUCUGGGAAACCAUUGGUUUAUUUGAGGUUUUGCCUUCAUAGGCACUAGAACAGUCAAGCAGAGGAAGGACGUGGACGUGCACAGAGAUAAAACAAUCAUUGCACAACCUUAAAUCAAAAGCGCGGAAUAUAACAAGUUUUGUUCAAUCAAAGCAUGAUUUUUAAUUGUUUCUAUAGCCAUAUAGCAGACAAAUCCAAGGGGAUACAGCAGGAUCUUGGCUGUUCCACCAAUCAGACAAUUUCGUUCAUCUAAUUGUUUUGCCCAUAAUAUGUAGAACAAACAUGUGAAGUAACCUCUACAGAUUCUGGAAUUUGCUUCAGAAAUUUUAGCUGGACAGAAUCAUAAUUAUGUAUUCAAAAGGUUCCUUUAACUAUUUGAUCAGAUAACAAUCUAUCUAUUAAGCUGAAAACUGAAAGUCAUGUAUCCACAUUUUCUAGAUCUUUAUGUAAAUCUAGUUGCACCAGACUUUAGCUAUAUAUAUAUCUUUUUUAUAUCCCGUCCCCAACAAUUCACAGAUAAAGAUGAAGGUAAUUGAUCAUGUAAGCAUUUCCUCAACAUGACUAAAAUUCGGUCAAGCGUUCCACAUUUGAUCAGAUGAAGCGAAACUUAUUGAAUGAGGCUGAUAGACUAGUAAUUAUCAUUAUACAAUUAUGGCAGCUUCAAGAAUACGUGCAUUUGCAUACAACGUACAGUUCCAUUUUCUCCUUGGUGCAAUUCAAUUUUGAUGGCAGAAUGCAAAAGUAGAUUCACGGAAUAAUAGCAUAGAGGAGGUCAGCUAUAAAUAAUUUCUCUACCAUAAGUAAAGAACAAGAUAAUCUGUAGAAUCGGUUCCCCCCAGUUUUUUCAUCCAAUUCCACUUAUCUUUAUUACUGUAUACCUAACAAAACACAUAUAUACUGAAAGAAUUUUUUUUUUGUUUUAAUGUAUGUGCUUAAAUAACCUACUUGAACAAAUCAGUACAGAAGGAACGCCUUCAUGCAUUAGUAAGUUAACACUAAGAUAGACAAAAUACUUACAAAACAUUCUGCAACAUAUAUGACAUUAAAAAUUGGAUUUAUUCUCUACUGAUCCGGAAAUCAUCAAUAUGGUAUUAAUUAGUACUCGAUAAUCUCAAGGUACAACAGAAUUAACAGAUGUACUAUGCAUAAUAUUCUCAUGCACCCAACUAUAACAAUCUCAGCCAUCAAUAAAUAAUUCAUCAACAUUUACAGUUUUACACACACCAAUAUGCACAAACACCACAGAAUCAUCAAGAAACUCAUGAACCUGCAUUCUGCACCCUAACUCACACCUUAUCUUCUUUUGGUUCAAUCUCCAACGGAGGAACCCACGUGCCGUUCACCCAUUCACGGUGUAACCGGAGCUUGGACGGAUGAAAUUUCGACAGCUCCCUACUAGACCUAAAGAACACCGCAAACUUUCCAGUUUUGGAAACCCCCGUGAUCACGCCUUCCCACCAUCCGUCGUUAAAAUAAACAUCCACUUCUUCGCUCACCUUAAACUCCCGGUGAGUCUCCCGGGGUGCCGGCGGCCUAAGCUGCACAACGUCGAUUUCUUCCCUCAGCGGGAUUUUUCUCAAGUCGUCCUGCAUCAGGGUUUUGUACUCCACCAAGAUUUUAUCAUUCUUUAACUUCCGGAUAACGGUUCCGGCGAACCAGGAGCCGCGAAAGCCGUCCUCAUCGCUGCUGAUUUCGACUUCGGCACCUUUUAUGAAGUAAUCCAUUAUUCAAGAGAGGAUUUGAAGGGAGGAAGUUCGUUAGCUAUUUAGUUAGGGUUUAUGGAGUUUUGGUGAGAAUUUGGCGGGAGGUAGAUAUGCUUUUGUGUCAAUGUAUGUAUCAAGAGUCAGUAAAGAGGAUGUUUGAGGUUUUCGAUUGAAACUAGGUUUGGGGAAGAACUGAAAUUUGAGGGUUUACAGUGAAAAGUUGUAAUAUGAGAUUAUAGGAUUUUUUUUUUUGGAAUAAUAAGAGUUGUGAAAAAGGAUUUUUGGCUUCUAUCAGAGUACUAGAAUACAAGGUAAAAACAGAAGGAUAAUACAAAAUAAAGGAAACAGAUGUUACUAAAAAAAUAAACAAUAUAUUACUAACUCAAACAGAGAUGCAAACAGAUGUUUCCAGAUUUGACUUACACGUUACCCCCCCCAAAAAAAAAGCCAACUAAAAAAUUUGGUCCAAUCAAACUCCCAAAAAAAUAAAAAUGUCGAACCAUUCAGGCUAACUGGUUUUAACUUCUAAACAAGUUUGCUGAAUUUCCCUUUCUUCUAAUUGUGUCUGUAUUGCUAAUGACCAUUACUACUAGCCAUUUGUUUCAAGUCUCAUAGGCCUGGAAAUGUAAGAGCUUAAUCCCUUGUUUGUUUUCCGUCGAGUCUAAAUGAAAGCUGCAAAAAACAUGAAUUAAUUUGGUGUUUAAAACUUUUGUAGUUUCAAGUAAACCGAUAGUUCAAAUUAUAUAUGGAUGACAGUUCGAAGUGUAUUCCGCUCCUUUAAAUUGCAGUUCACGAUGCUAGUCUAUCCAUUUAGGGGUAAAAAUCAGUUUUAAAAGUGGUAUAUAAAAUAUCUGCUUUGAUCCCCUACUCCAAUUGUUUGGUAGUCUUGGUUGUCAAGUCAUAUGGUACCAUAUUGAACUUUGCAGCUCCUAUGCGGAUAGAAAAGAUGAAUUUUUUAAGAGAAUUAAGAGUUCCUUUUACAAUUUUAUCUUGCCUAGGUUGCUGUUUUAGCUGUGUUCAUAACUAAUAGCUACCAGCUCAAUCGUUCUAUUGAUCGUUUGUAUUGCCUGUAUUUGCUUAAUGUCUAUGCCCCUUCAUGUCUCUAACCUCUUUCUGUAAAAGUUGAUGGAAAAAGACAUAGUUGAUAGAGCUUACACACACUGGAAAAAAGAAAAUUGACAUGUAUAUUUCAUUGGAAGAGUAAUUUGAAGGAGAGGAAAGAGUGUAACGCAUGUUUGAAAAGUUUUUUUUUUCAUCCUCUUGCUCUCGUCCUGUAUAUGUGUGAUGCCAUUUCGUGUGGAAUCUCUUGGAGAAAAAUAUAGUUCAUAUGGUUUGUAGUAGGAAGAAAAUGAUUUCCCAUCCAUGAAUAUGUACAUAUCGUACAUAAAAAGGAAAACCUUCAUUAUCAACGUCCUCUCACGAACUUGAUCUUCCCGUGCAAGUGAUUUUGUAGAUCAUGAAGUUAAUUGGAGAGAAUAAGGAGGAGAAAGAGAAUCAUACUUCCCAAAAGGUAGGUAUAGAUGCUGAAAAAAUUAGUGUCUAACUACAUUUGUCAUAUAUGGUCGAACUGAUCAAAUAUCGUAGAACUACAUUGGUCAUACAUAGCCCAACUACAUAUUAUGGCCAAACUAUGGUAGUCUCUAACUACAUUGGUCAUACAUCACUGAACUACAUAUUAUGGCUGAACUAUAGUUUGUGCCCGAAGCCAUAGAUAAGGCUUAUCUCAAAAUUAGGAGAGUUGUUAUUAAUUGACAAGUGAACGAACUAUCAAAUUUAUCCUUAGUAACUUCAUAACAUGAAAUAAUCACCAAAUUCUUAUCAAGAACUCAUGGGAUAAUGACCAGAUAGUCAUCUUUAUCAGGAAUUCAUGAAAUAAUCAUCAAAGGGUUCGUUCAUUAUGAUCCAUUCAUACUCAUGGGAUGGUAACCAGAUAGUCAUCUUCAUUAGGAACUCAUGGGAUAUCAUCAAAGGAUUCAUUCAUAUGAUCCAUUUGUUCGUAUAAAUACAGAUACAAACCAGAUCAUCUGAUACUCAAUCAACUCUUUACUUCCUUUUUAAAAUUACUAUUUUUAAAAAAUUAUCAAUAACUCGAAAACUGACUUAACUCUCUUAGAAACUGACUUGAUCUUGGGGAUUAGACACCAGUCCUUUGACAACCAACUUGAUCCUAAGGAUUAGACUCUAGUCCUUUAACAACCCCUUUCCUCACAAGGACUAGACCCCAGUCCCUUGACGACCCCUUCCCUCCGAUCUUUGACAACUCCGUCCAUCCGGUCUUUGACAACCCUUUUUGUGUGCAGGUUAUAUUCAUGAACUGCGGUCCUUUAACAACCCCUUUGUAUGUGGGUCAUAUUCAUGAACUAUGGUCCUUUGUAUGCAGGUCAUAUUUAUGAAUUGAUUAGUGUAUAUAGGUCACAAUGAUGAACUGAUCAAAAGGUUAGUUGAUGUGUUCAUCUCAUUCUAAUAGGUCUUGGUGGUAAUAUUCUACCUCGUAGGGUCCUGAUGAUCACAAGAUCAAGAUUCCAAGGUUGAUCAAUGUGUUCAUCUCAUCCUGACAAGUCGUGAUGAUAAUAUUCUAUCUCGUGAGAUUUUGAUGAUCACACAAUUGGUCUUCUUGUGGGGUUUUUAUAAUCACACGACUGGCUUGUCAAACGCACAUCACCCAGGUCGACCUGGUGAAGUGCCUAGGUCAGUUUAGGCAAGCAUGGUUGUCUCAACAACUCAACUCACUCGGCUAAACCAUCCAAAUCAGUUCAUCCCAUGAUUUUUUUCUAUUUUUUUAGUAGCCAUUCCAUUUUUUCUUCUUUGAAUUCUUCGUAUACAUACAUGCAUCAACAAUUUUGGGAUUGCCUUUCACAAGGGGAAGGGGAAAAAAUAAUAAAAACAGAUUGAAUUAUCAUUACAAAAUUAAACAGAAUUCUUUCUCAAAGAAGUCGCUUGUCAAAAAAGAAAAAGAAAUUUAUCCCUUAAAUGAUUACAACUGCUUUGUCAAAGAUCUCAACACAGAAACUAUCUUGAUAAUAAUAGUCUGUUUAAUAGCAUACGGCUCCACGAUAUCAAGCUUCAAUAUAAUCAAUGAUUUUUAUUUGACAGAAUUAAUCCUAGCUAGUGAGUUAAAGAGUGCAAACUAUUUUUAAGUGAAAACAAAUCCUAAGACACCAUGUAACCCUAGACGCACGUAGAUACUUUAAACUAACAUAAUUAAACACGAAAGAUGAGAAACUGUACGAGAAUAGCCUUCUAAUUGGCUCCUGAACUACCGCGCCACAAGACGGGUUGCAAUUGGAAUGUAUCCAUCUUGAGAAAAAUCAAUAAGGGGCAUAAUACCUGGAAGAAUUUUCCGCACCAUACCGACCUAACCUAGAGCAAGAAAUAUUUUUUGCCAAUGCCGCCUUGUAAACUCUUCCACCACAAUCAAAAUUAUUGUAAAGUGGCCUACAUCCAUUCGAGAGCUUAAAAUUCUUGGUGUCACAAAGAUUGGGUCUAUUGUAACUUACCUGUUGCUCUUGAAACCUGCAUGAUGUCGGUAACAUCAUUGGGUUUGGAGAAAGCCCUAGCUGCAUGACUUUAUUAUUUACAAGACGAGAUUUACCCAAGUAUUUUUCUUGGUAAUAAACUGUCGGAAGCCUCGGCGAUUUGAGAUUGGGACAGGAAGUUAACGUGGGCUGUGAUUUGAUUGAGGGCUUGUCUUGGUACUGCCCAGAAAUUGAGAAUUUUAAUGUUCUGUUGAAGAGAGUUACGAGGCCAGAAAAAAGUUUAACAGCAUAUUCAGCUGCUUCUUCUGUUACAUAUUCUGCAAAGGCAAAACCUCUCAGCUUAUCAGUUUCUUUAUGCCGAGGAAUAUUCAAGUUCACCACUGGCCCUGCUUGAAUGAGGAUAUCAUACAGUACCCUUUCCUUCACCCUUUCGUCUAGAUUUCCUAUGUAAACAGUGCAUCUACAGUUGUCAGCCAUCCUCCAAAGGAAAAAAAAAAAAGACUGCUGAUUCUUGGGAGAUUUGAGGAAUUGAACCCUAAGGGGGAGUGUUAAGAAUUUAAUCUUGAGAUGAACUAUGAAAAUUUUGGAAACCUGUAGUCAAGCGUGGAUAAAGAGGGUCAAAUUUAUACUAUUUGUCGAUGAUAGCGUCGGAAAGAAAGACUUCUUGUUCGAUAUGAAUGCUGAGAGGAAAAAUGUCACCGACUUUAAAUCCUUUUCAGUUUGGGAUCUAAAAUCAUGUUGGUUGCGCUGCAUGGAUUUGAUAGCAUGCUUCCUUUUAACGGGUUAUAUUUCCUUUUUUUCCGCCCCCCAUCCUUCAAUGAGUUAUAUUUCUUCUUAUAGAACGUUUUUUUUCCUCUAGAUUUUUUUUUGGAUGUCACAUAGUAUCACUUCUUUCAAGGGGUUGUUUUCUCUUGUGAUGGUGAUCAAUCUCUUGAUGCUUUCAUAGACCCACAUCACCUCAUAUCACUCAAAUUAGAUAUUUUUUAUAUCAGUUUUUGGUUUGUUAGCUACCAAAAAAUAGCGUGAACACGUAGUGUUUAAUAUGAACUACAUCUUCAUUAGGAAAAAUUUUUGAAACCUCUCUUGAGAUUUCUUUCGCUUUUAGAAAUUCUAAUUGCUACCUUGCGCCAUGGUCACAUAGUUUAUUUUUGAUCCUCAAUGAUGUCCCUCAAUAAACUGAGUUCUUGUGAUAACUUGAUGAAAACAUGCUUGUUCUUUAAAUACUAUGCUAGUGAAUGUGCUCUUAUGCUAUUUGAUGAUAAUCACAAAAGACUUUAUCUAUAGAAUACCUUCAUUUAAAAUAGCAUGAAUAUUUUUUUGGCACAUAUGUUAGCAAGAAAAAUCCGUUGCCUAUCAACUGCUCUUUUCUGGGCUUAACAGCCAUUUUUGUCCUAAAUGGCAAUUUUUUCUUUUUUCGUUAAAUUGGCACCUUCCUCACAAAAAAGUGUUAAAUAUUUUUUUCAUACAUACAAGGGACGUAAAUCUGGAAGAAAUUUAUGUGUCAAUACUUUGCUCCACUUUCAAAGCCACUUUUUUUGGGCUAAAAUUGUUAUCAAACAUGUUAUUUAAGGGUAUGCUAGUGUAAUUUACAGUAUUAGAGGGUAUUUAUCUAAAAUUCUCAGAAACCUUGAAGGAGGUUUCUGAAAUUAUCCCUUUCAUUGAUAACAACCACCUCAUUGACCAUGUUUUUUUUUUUUUUAAUUUAAUAUCCUUCCCACCCCUCCUUUAUUGACAACUUUAGCAUGAGGAAUUUGUGGCAAUCUUCACGGAUCUUAUUCACAAUUCAAGUGAUUCACAACCUCAACAUGGUUUUCUUAGAGUGUUGUUAAUGCAUUAAGCGAAUAUGUCUUUGAUUGAAAAUUAAUAUUCCUAAUUGAAUGAAAGAAAUACUCCUAAUUGACUUGAGGUAUAAAUCAGGGAUCAAAGCAUUUGUCAGUUACAAUUAUGCCUUCCAACACAUAACUCAUAUUUUCUAUAGAACUAUCACAAAAGCUGUAAUUUUUGAAGUUAGAGAACUCUUAUCCAUUAUUUUUCCUUUAUUCACUACCUUUUCUAUGUCAGUCGUUAUUUUAUCAAGUUAUAGUAUGUGUGUAACUUUCAAAGUUAUCGUCGCUGUCAUGCUAUUAUUAUUCAUUUUUCUAUAUAGACCUUGUUAUGUUCAAAUUAUAUCAUUACAUAUACCAUUUACAAAAUCCGUAUUCAGAAAUAAACAAACAAAUUUUGCCUAUUAAAACUUCCAUUGGAUUGCAGGGCAACAUAGUACAAUAUUAUUUCCUAAAAUUUUCUUUUCCUUCCUUGCUCGACAUAGUUUUCUUGGUUUCUGAUUUGUGAUUUCAAACAAACCCAUAUACAAUAUCCAUCAAUUUAUGGUACGCUCGUGGAACAAAAGUUGAAGGGUUUGUGUAGCGAGUAUCUGUAUGUAAUUUAGGUGUUAAAUUUUUAGAAAAAUAAAUUUAAUUAGAGAAAAUAUAUGAAUGCGAAAAAAUGUAGUUAAAAUUAGUGUAUAGAGUCAGACGCAAUUUAGAUGUGUUAAUGCGCAUAAACACCCAUCAGAAAAAUUCAAAGUUUAAUAAGGAAUUGGUGUUAAACAUAGAUUAUAUAUGAUCUUAUAAACUCAGAAGCCAUUUUGUUUAAAUUCUAUAAUCACUAUCCCUAUGGAUAUGAUAAAUUAGAGAAUGGCAAUAAAUUUAAUAAAAAUCCAUAGAGAGUAUGAAAACUUUACAGUAAUAAGUUUUAGUAAUAUAUAUUCACUGAGUGUUUAACAAAUAAAAUCAUCCUUUUUAAUAGCUAAUUAUGAAACUCGAAUUCUAUGUAUGAAUGUGAUUGACAUUGAAAUACAUUUAUUUUUUGUUUUUGAAACCACCUUAGAGUCUUGAGGCUCAAGGAAAGAGCAAGAAAAGGGGCGGAAGGUUGCCGAUUCAGCCCGGUCCGACGGUUGAAUCGGUCAAACUAGUGGAUCGGUCAUGGAAUCGAGCUGGAUUAGUAAUUGGAUCGGAGUUGCAGAUUACUCGUUUUGAAUCGUAUGACUUGGGCGGUCGAAUUGGUGACCUACUAAACUCGGCAAGUUUUGAAAAUUUUUCUGCAAUUACCUUUUUAUCAAAUUUUUUUAAUUUAACCAAUCACACCAACAUGGGCAUUGUUGUCUUUUUGACAAUUAGAUUAGAAAAAUUGAAAAGAGAUUUGAGAAUUAGGGUUUUUCCUUUGUUUGACAUUUAGAUUUGUGUAUAAUAUUAAUAUGAAUUCAUAAAUAAGGAACACAUAUGGAUAUGGCUUGUGUGUAUGAAUUAUAAAAUAUGAAUAAGUUAAGACUUGUUGACAUUUAAAAAUUUUUGUACUUAUAUAUAAUUUAUAUGUUUAUUUAAUUAUAUUAUAUACUUUUUCAUUAUAUAAUGUGAUCUGAUAGUUCAACUAAUGAUCUGACUGUUAAACCACUGACCCGUCAACCCGGUCCUCUUGCCGGGUUGGUUUUAAUAACUAUGGGUUGAAUUAUAUUGGUUAAAAGAAUCCCCUAUGAGGCAAUCUGAAACGCGAAACAAGCCAUAAGCGCGCCACAUGAUUCUAGAGUGGAGGCGCCAAUUCAAACGGUCAUAUCUUAGAAAAUAAAAAUACAUCUUAAAUACCACUACUAAUCAGCUCAGUUCAUAGCUCGACAAAACUCAUAUCUUAAAGCUUUUAGCCUCUCGUUUAAGUCUCAAAAACCUAUCAGAUUUGCGCGCAAAUACACAGGCACAAGGAUAUAUGAAUUUGACAAAGCUAAAUGCUAUUAAACCAACUUUUCAGGGACAAACCUCUUCAAAUAUAACCUUAAAUACAUCGAUCUUAGAUGCCCUUUUGCGCAAAUGUUUCAAUCUAAGUCAAUUCAGCCAGAUUCUUUCACAGAUGAUCUCAACUGGGUUUUUCAGAGAUACAUAUGCAGCAAGCAGAAUUGUCAAGUUUUCUACUGAUUCUUCAUUUGUUCAUAUCGAUUAUUCUCACAGAAUCUUUAGUCACAUUGAGAACUCAAAUGGGUUCAUUUGGAAUACCAUGAUGAGAGCCUACAUUCAAAGAAAUAAGCCCAAAGAGGCAAUCUUUUUGUAUAGAUUAAUGUUGAAAAAUAAUUUGAUUGUAGAUAAUUAUACUUAUCCUUUAAUGGUCCAAGCUUGUGCAUUCAGGUUAGUAGAAUUUGAGGGAAGAGAGUUUCAUGAUCAUGUGAUUAAAAUGGGUUUUGAUAGUGAUGUUUAUGUGCAGAAUACUUUGGUUAAUAUGUAUGCAGUGUGUGGGAACGUGAGGGAUGCAAGGAAGUUGUUUGAUGAAAGUCCUGUAACAGACUUGGUUUCGUGGAAUUCGAUCUUGGCUGGGUAUGUUAAGAUAGGGAAUGUUGAGGAAGCUAAGAUGAUAUAUGAUCAAAUGCCUAAAAGGAAUACAAUUGCGUCUAAUUCAAUGAUUGUGCUGUUGGGUAGGUGUGGUAGGGUGAGUGAGGCUCUUCAACUGUUUAGGGAAAUUGAUGAGAAAGAUUUGGUCUCCUGGACAGCUUUGAUAUCGUGUUAUGAGCAAAAUGGCCUGUAUGAAGAGGCUCUGAAGUUGUUUGGCGAGAUGUGUUCUAAUGGGCCUGCUCCUGAUGAAGUUGUGAUGGUGAGUGUGCUCUCUGCUUGUUCACAUCUGUAUGUUGUUAAAACAGGGGAAUUGGCACAUGGUCUGGUUAUAAGAAUUGGUUUUGAAUCUUAUGUAAAUCUCCAAAAUGCUUUGAUUCACAUGUACUCUUCUUGUGGAGAUCUAGUGGCCGCGGAAAAGUUGUUUGAUGCUGGUCGAUUUCUGGAUCAGUUUUCUUGGAACUCCAUGCUUUCUGGCUAUUUGAGAUGUGGCAGAGUGGAAAAAGCUAGAGCUUUAUUUGAGUAUAUGCCUGAAAAGGAUGCUGUUUCAUGGAGUGCAAUGAUCUCUGGGUAUGUCCAGCUUGGUCAAUUUUCAAUGACUUUAGGAUUGUUUCAAGAGAUGCUGAUGAAGGAUGUCAGGCCUGACGAAACAACUCUGGUUAGUGUGAUUUCAGCUUGCACCCAUGUGGCUGCCCUUGACCAAGGGAAAUGGUUACAUGCUUAUAUAAGAAAAAAUGGGCUAGAUAUAAAUAUCAUUCUCGGCACCACCCUUAUUGACAUGUACAUGAAAUGUGGAUGUGUGGAAAAUGCAGUGGAAGUCUUUACCGGCAUGAAAGAUAAGGGGGUUUCCACUUGGAAUGCUCUAAUUCUUGGUUUAGCAAUGAAUGGUCAGGUGGAAAGAUCCCUUGAGAUCUUUGAAGAGAUGAAAAUAAGUGAAGUAGUACCUAAUGAGAUAACAUUUGUGGCAGUUCUUGGGGCUUGUCGACACAUGGGCCUAGUAGAUCUCGGGCGUGGUUACUUUGAGUCGAUGACCAAGAUAUACAAUGUUGAACCUAAUAUUAAACACUACGGCUGCAUGGUUGAUCUUCUUGGACGUGCGGGCCUUCUGAAAGAGGCUGAGAAGCUCAUUCAUAGUAUGCCUGUGGUGCCAGAUGUUGCAACUUGGGGUGCCUUGCUUGGAGCUUGUAAAAAAUACGGAGACAAUGAAAUGGGAGAAAGGGUGGGGAGGAAGCUUAUUGAGCUUCAGCCUGAUCAUGAUGGCUUCCAUGUAUUAUUGUCCAACAUAUAUGCUUCGAAAGGUGAUUGGAAUGAUGUUAUGGAGAUCAGAGGGACAAUGAUGCAGCAAGGUGUUGUUAAAGUGCCUGGUUGCAGUAUGAUUGAAGCCAAUGGUGUUGUUCAUGAAUUCCUGGCAGGUGACGAAUCACACCCUCAAAUGAAAGAGAUUGAGAUAAUGUUAGAUAAAAUGGCUAAGAGACUGAAAAUAUUAGGUUAUGCACCUGGUGUCAAUGAGGUUUUCUUUGACAUUGAUGAGGAGGAGAAGGAAACUACUUUGUUUAGACACAGUGAGAAGCUUGCUAUUGCCUUUGGACUUAUUGCAAUUAGAUCACCAACACCAAUAAGGAUAAUGAAAAACUUGCGAAUCUGUAGUGAUUGUCAUGAGGCUGCAAAGCUAAUUUCUACAGCUUUUAAUCGUGAAAUUGCGGUGAGGGAUCGACAUCGUUUUCACCACUUCAGAGAUGGUUCUUGUUCUUGCAUGGACUAUUGGUAGUAACAUAUGCCAGGAUGCAGAGAAUCAGUUAAAGAGAGUAGGCUCGAAAUGUUAUGUAUAAGUUACUGAAUGGCUUGGUCUUCCUUGCUCCUGAGAAUAUGCCAGCACUAACAUAAUCAUUUGUGGGUUUACCAUCACAAGUGAAACUAGAACGAGUGGGUUGUAAAUUAUACCGAGCAUAUGCUUUGAACGUGCCUUGGAUCUUCUGUUUCUUGUCCUCAUAAGAUCGGCUCGUUGGGCCUUGGCAAAGAUGGAAAGGCAUGUAUUUUUUAAUUUCUCUGCCCUACACUAGUUCCGUUUUCUUUUGUCUUCACCCUCUGUGAGGGCUUUCCCAUCAGUGUCAUUAUUUUGUAUUUAGCCUGUGCAGGUUGCCAUUGAGCCACUAUGACUUCCAUGGAGCUUGUUGAAGAACAUUUUGGUCAGACUCUUUGCAGUAGGUAUGGAAGUCCAAAAUUUCUUGUUUAUUUCAGUUGCUAAUUUUGUCAUCAGUCAGCAAAAAUUAGGUUGACUGAAAAGUCUUCUGAUUUCUUGGAUUACUUAUGAUUGCGUAACGCCAAGAGAGAUAGAUCUAACAGAAUGAACAUCUGGAGACUAAAUGUCCUGUGUUAAAGUGGUACUUCUAACUACAUGAAUUACUUGUCUCUGAAAUUAUGAGAUUAUAGACCAAAACAGUUGAUAAUAUUGAUUCUUUGAUAUUAAAAAACAUCCAUAUUUUACCAAAUCUUAUUGUAGUUGUAUCUGAUUAUCAUGGCUUAUGGCUAUCUAGGCUGGUUUGAAAGAUGAACGAUCUUGAAUUCUGUAACAGACUGCAUUCAUCCUGACACUUGUUUCAAAUCCAAAUGUAGGAAACUAUCCCUACAGGCUACACAGCAUUAUCAUAAACCAGAAAAUUCCUGCAGAUGCAGCAUUCAGCGAAGCACAGGCAUUGAAUCAUUUGCAAAUCCUCUAGCAAGAAAAGUGACAGAAUUAGCAUGCUUGUUCUUUUUCAAAUUGCAUCAGCUAGCUCAAUCUCUUCGUUAAUAGCUAAUGUUGUAGGAAUGAAUGUUUGAAGUGUCCUAUAUGGUUUUAGCCCCUCCCACUCACCAACAGAAAUUCGAGAAUGAUCAGAGGGCAAUAUAAAAUCCCAGACUAGCAAUUGCAAGUCUCGCAGGCUGUUUUGCUCAAUUUGGACGUCUGGUUUUUCCUCUUUUAUUUUGGUAAACAACAGCAUUUCAAUUAAGAAAAAAAAAUAAAGCAGUUUAACAAGGAUUAAUUACUGUCUUCCUAGAAAAAGCAACACCCCUCAAAUCAUCCAAAAGUAGGGGUAUAAAGUCAGGGCAUAAAUGAUACAAAAUAAAAGAUUCCAGUAGACUUCCACCCAGCUUAGCCAAAGCGUUUGUGCAGCGGCUGGCUUCUCUAUAGUAAUGCCUCAAUGAGACCUGAAGGAAUUGUCCCACGCGUAUUCUGCAAUAAGUUAGAAUAGGAGAGAAUUCAUGAGUUUCAGUAUCAGUAUUUGAUAACAUAUUGACAAUAAGUAUGGAAUCCAUUUCAAUUUCUAAUUUGGAAAAAUUAUGUUGAAUGGCCAGAAAGUCUCAUUCCCUGUUAAAUCUAUGCAUACACAAAGUUUCAUUCCCUGUUAAAAGUAAAUUUAUUGAAUCAGAAAUUUGAGCUUUUUCUUUUCUGAUAAGCACUUGUGCAAGCCGCUGUGCUCUCAAACUAGAAACAGUUAUCCAAAAGAGAGAAAUCCAAGAACAAUACAAGCUUUUAUCUCUAAAUAUAAACCAGCGUACAGAUGAAUAAUUCAAUGUGAUUAUUGUCAAUUUUUUAUGUGAAGAUCAUACAAACGGGCAUCUGGGGUAGAACAAUGAUCGAUCCAUCUAAGAUUAUGUUGUGUUUCUUAGAAUUUUGCAGGGAGUGGUAGGAAACAUCUCCCUUUUCAAUUAAUCCUUGUGAGAACUUCCAGAAUCCUGCUGAUAUAUUUAAUCUCCCGUGAAGAUGGAGCUUCUUUUGUAAAGCUUUUAGCAACUCUCGUCUGUCAAACGGUAGAAAACUGACGGUUCCAUCUGUUGGCCAUUCUUCUUUUCAUUCGAAUAUCUUGAGGAGUAGGGAAAAUGUUGUUUGCCUGUAAUGCUCGUCAGAUCACAACUGAUUCCUGCUGAUAAGUUAUUUCCCUUCAACACUAAGGCUUUCUCUUAGCUAUGCUCUUACUAUUUCAUGCCUCAUCAAAGGAUUUUUGUCACAGUUACAUCACGAUCCUCCAUGGCUUUUCCAAAUUGCAACCAUCACGUCCCAUCUUCUAAAUCAUGUAGAAAAUAAUCUAAUUCAGGAAAGUAUCCAGCAUCCUUCAUAUGCUGUAGCAGCUUUUCUAGAACCCUGUAAACCCAUUCCAUAUGAGAACCCACCUUAUCUCCAGCAACAAAACAAUAAAUUUCAUUCUGCAAUUCAACCCAGCUUCUCCCUGUCUCUUUCUUGUUCCCCAGUCUUCUCAUUAAUUUCCGAGCUGCUGCAAACUCUCUCCAGUUUCCAUCAGCAGCACAGAGGUUUGAUAACGUGAUGUAAGUCCCUGCAAUACCUGGCCGCAGUUCCAACACUCUACUUACUGCUAAUUUUCCCAAUUCUGGACGUUUAUGCAUUUUACAAGCUCCCAGAAAUACAGCCCAAACAGUUUCAUCAGGCAGAAAAGGCAUACUUUUGAUUAGCUCAUAAGCCUCCUCAACCCUCCCUGCACGUCCUAGCAAAUCUACCACACAACCAUAAAUCUCCUGCUCUGGCUUGAUAUUGUAGUCAUGAACCAUUGAUGUAAAGUACCUUAAACCUUCUUCUACUAGACCAGCAUGGCUACAAGCACCCACAACUGCCAUAAAAACAAUCCGAUCAGGCAUAAUCCCAGACUUCACCAUCUCAUCAAACAAAUCAACAGCUUCCUUUCCAUAACCAUGGCUGCCGUAUCCUAUCAUCAUAGAGGUCCAAGAAACAAGAUUUUUAGAAGGCAUCCGAUCAAAAGUUUUACGAGAAUCCAUGAUGUUGCCACACUUUGCAUACAUAUCUAUCAGAGCAUUAUCCAGUUCUAAGUUUCCUUCAAGGCCUCUUUUAACAAUUAAUCCAUGAACCUGUUCUCCAAAGCUCAAGACUGCCAAAUUAGCUACAGCAGCCAAAAUGCUGGUAAAUGUGAAGCAGUUGGGACUAAUACCUUCUAAUUCCAUUCGGGAGUAUAUUUUGAGUGACUUGUUAGGAUAAGACUUCUCAUAUCCAGCAAUUAAAGUAUUCCAUGUUAUCAAAUCUUUCUCAGUCAUUACAUGGAAACAGACAUCUGCCUCGCCUAAACUACCACAUCUACAGUACAUGUCCAUGAUGGCAUUCAUUACAGGUGUAUUGGAUUCGAACCCAUUCUUGACCACUAUUGCAUGGAUUUGCUUGCUGUGCAUAUAUGAGCCGAUUGAGGUACAAGCCCUAGCUGCAAUUGAAAUGCAAUACGGAUUCAGCUCCUCUCCUGCCUGUCCACCAAAAAGACACAAAAGAAGGUGACAACUUAGACUUGCUGCGUAACAAUUGACAAAAAAAAGAUUUAAACAUCAUUUGCAGAUCAUGACUUGCACUACAAUUUAUCCCUCAACUGCAUCUGUUAGGCGGAAUCCCCCAAAAAAUAAAUAAUAAUAAUAACAACAACAACAACCACCAACACCGAGCAAACAAACAAAAAAAACAAAAAAAAACUAAUUCAACUUCUUUCCAGAGCUUGAGGCAUAUAAUCUAGAAGAGUAUCAUCUAUCACAUUCCGUUAUUGUAAUAGCAUGUUUAUGUUGCUGUUGGUGGAUAGCAAAAGAUUCAGAGAAAAUACGAUACUUUGAUAUAAAAUGAUACGCACAGUUUGAUCAUCUUCUGAUUUCUUAUUUGCCCACUUAAUUUGUAUAACUUGAUCAUCUUCUGAUUUCUUAUUUGUCCACUCUAUUGAGUCAAAUAUAGGGAACACAUCCUUGACAACAUUCUAACUUCAUGUAUACUGAUCGUUUUAUAGACCACCCACUAAGAUUCUAGCCAUCUUAUUUAGAUUUUUGUUACAUUCAGUGAUGACAAGUGUACACCCCCUCCUUCCCAUUUUAGUCUGAAAUUCUUUCUUAUGAAGAAAGAGACCAUACAAAAUUGGGAUGUAGAGAGUGCAUACCAGUAGCAUUUGCCUAAAAACUUGAAGUGCACCAUAACCAUCAUCCUGAUGAGUGUAUCCAGCAAUCAAUGUUGUCCAUGACACAGCAUUCUUUGUGCCAAUUUCCCCAAACAACAUGCUUGCCGCAUCCAUAUUCCCACAACAAGUUGCAUACAAGUCCAGAAGUACAUUAUCCACGUAAAUGCAUCCAGGCAUGGCAUAUUUGAUGGCCAAACCAUGAACCAAAGAGCCACAAAACUGCGAUUUCAUGCCUUUACAAGCCUUCAGCGUGCUAGAAAACGUAUACUCAUUAGGUACCACGCCUCUACAGUCCCUCAUCAUGGCACAAAACAAACUCCAUGCACGCUUGUGAAAGCUACAGGAAUUAUAACCGGAAAUCAUGGCCGUCCAUGCAACUACAUCUUUCCUCGGCAUUUCAUCGAACAAUAUCUGUGCUUCUUGUAUUUGGCCAUUUUCAAAGUACGAUUUGAUGAUGUUGGUAGCCAGAUAUGAAGGGGGUUUCGGUAAAAAUGGCGGGCUCAAAUGGGUUGCUUCGGUUUGUAGCCAAUGAAGCGAGUUCCUGAUUGUCUGAGGGAUUUGAUGGUUGAAAAUGGUGGACACCCGUUUUCUUGUACUCAUCCGUAAUGCAUUAUUGUACGUAACUUUUACACUAUCAUAUGGUGUAGAAGAAGUUGGACUUCUUCGCCAACUUCUUCUGGAACAGGACUAAGAAAUGCAGCAGUUCGCAAUAAAUAUUCUGUUCAAACAAAAGAAACGCCGCCAAGGACAAAAAUUUGAUUCUAUUUCCACCUUUCCCUAUCUACCACCGCCCUCAUUCGGAUGGCACAUUGGGAUAUCAAAACUGAGCAAGAUUUUGCUUUCGCUGGUCUCCCAAAUCCUAAUAACAGGUCUCCCUAGAGUUGGAGCUUACGCCUAUAGGGCACAAUAGAAUUGGAGGUCUACUAUAUAACGCUAGCAGAUGACACUAGACGAGAGAAUCAUUGACGAGAACUCUUAAUAUAUUGGUGCCAUAUGGUAAUUCCCAUCACAGUUCCUUUUAUGUUUUAUCCGUAAACAGCAAUAGCUGAAUCUCAGAAAACGAAAAGCAAAGGCACUGGUUACAGCACUAAUAUUACAACUGCAAAUCUGCAACACAUCAAAUUGCAGCAGCAAUAAAUUUACAAGCAUAAUCUACUACAUCCCAAGUGAUUGUAAUACUGAAAAGUUUAGGCAGAAAGGGAAAAAACGAGGGAAAACUACAAGAAAAUCUCUCCGCCCACAGCAGAGAUAUCAUUACAAACAUGACAUUCUUGCUACAUAAUAUUCAUAUGGACAGUCAAAGGUGGCUCUCAACAAAGCCACCUAUUUGUAGUUUUGUACUUCCUAAGCCGAUCAACUAUAACUAUUAAUCGGACUACAAAUGAAUUAUUACAAUUUUACAAUGAUCUUAGAGCGAAUCUAGUUGUGUUAACUGUUAAAUCUUUGAGCUUAAAAGUGCCCUUUGCUUGCUAUAACCUACAAUCUAGUAACUGUACAGGCAAAAGCUGUUUCACCUUCAGCUAAUCUCAUUACACAAGAAUCUGGGACUUGGCAGCGCCUCGGGAGCACUUCUUACGCCCGGAUUUGCUAAGAGCGCAAACACAAAUUUCAAGAAGGUCGUAGUCUUCUUCCCAGAAUAACAGAGAAGCCAUCUCAGGAUUUUCCAAAAGCAUUUUAGAUGUUAAGUAUCCAGCUAUUGUCCAUGUCUGGUACAGUCGGGCUUGCUUUCCAACAAAUUUCCCAUACCUAGUAUCGUAGUAUUCAGGCCAGCGAUCUGCCGGAAGCCUUGUUUCUGCUAAAUCAACUGCCUUCUUGGCCAGAUCCGUCCUCCCCAUCUUCAUGCACGCCAGUGUGAACUAAAAGAAAAAACGGAGAAAAAUAUUUUAGCAUAUUCCCUAAAAUAUGUAAUUUCUUUUUUUCAACAUAUUUACUUCUUGAAUCUGUUCUCAAACAAAAAUAAAGAAUAAAAAAAGGUCAUCCUCCUCCAAUAAGUUGAUCUUCAACUACCAGUGAUACGGAUCACAUGCAAUUUGUAAUUUGCCCCAAAACAGAAACUGUAUUACUACAGCUUAAUAAAAUAACUACCUGCCACAGAAGCGUAGGCCAUGAUCCACCAUUGUGAUAAGACCAAGGUCUGCAAACAUCAAUAUCAUCAAAGUCAAAAUAUAAUCACCUCAAUAUCGAACCCUAGGUAUAGCUAAAAACUGAUAGUACAAGAGAUGGAAGAAAACUCACGUAUUCUUUGGGUCACUACCAGUGAUUAUACGCCACUCUUCAGACUCCAGAGCAGGGUAACAUAUCUUUAGAGGCAUGAGACCCACAAGGUCAUCCCACUUCGCUUCAAUCAAAUUCAAAAUAGCCUCAUUCUGUUUCGGAGUACCCAAAGACGAAACAAUGGACCAGAGAUUUCCAAGAGUAAAGAAUCUGAAGUCCAUAUGAGCUGGCUGUAGAUUACCAAUAAGAUAACCACCUUUCUCAGGAAUCCAAUCCAUUAACCAAUGAGGUAUUUGUUCAGGAUAGAUAUUAAACUUAUUUGUGGCUUCUGUAGAGUAUUCCUCAGUCUUGUAUCUGUAAAUUUCGUUUAUCUUCUUCAUAUCAACCCAAUAAUAUUCUCUGAUAUGAAAUGAUAAUGCACUGAGUCUAUUAUUAAUGGCCCUUAUUAGAUUCUUUGAUCCGUCAUCUACCCGAAGCAUCUCACGAGAGCAACGAAGAGCAGAGUAAAACAAGGCCUGAAGCAUAAGAAAUGGUUAUGAAUUCCAUCAGCUCUGGAAGUAGUUAAAUAUGACAAAAACUCAAUAAAAGUACUAGUAAUGAGUGUUAAAAUACAGGCAGAAAAUAUCAUACAAAUCACUUUGUCGAUAAUUUGAAGUAAAUAUUUCUAUUCCAAACAGCCAGAGAAGUAAAAAUUUGAAAACUUAAACAGAUAAUAUACCACGUCACAAACAUCAUUAUUACUUUUUCCCCUUUUUGGUGAACAGAAGGGCAUAGACAGAGUCUAUAAUGGUAAUCGUAGGAUGCAACAGCAGUAUGAUUCCACUUUAUCAACUACUCAAUGAAAGCAAAAGAGCGUGCAGAUUGUUUGAGAGAUCGCAGUAAUAGUAGACACUUUAGUGGUAAAUAGAAGUCAAAAAGUUUCAGCAGAGGCUCUUGUUUUUCCAAACAAAUCCAAAUGCUAUUAUCAACAAUUAAUCAAAACAUUUAACUCGUAACCUGACCAUCUAUACAAUAAAUUAACCAGUUCCCAACACAGAAUAUUUACUAGUACACAGGAGAGGCAAAGAACUCAUGUUCAUUAAUAGUUCUUCCAAAUGGAAAAAGCACUGCAGUGUCCUCAACCCUUCUAUAUGAGAUGCUUAUGGUAUAGUUAGAAUAGAUACGAGAGGCAUUGGGAACAUGAACUUACCUGAAUUUCCAAUGGAUGGCCAUGAAUACCCAUCCUUCGAUCAAUCAUACAGGAGCCAUCAGUGACAAGCAAUGAUGGAAACAUAUCAAACCCAUCAGACAAACACAAGUUCAGAAUCAGUUUUAUGCCUGUCUGAACGUCCACUCUUUCCUGUAAUGCAUAGUCACCAGUGAUCUUUCCAUAAGCCCUCAGUAAAAUAAUCCACCACAAUCCUAUCAAGAAAUCCGAAAGCACAAAAACAUUUCAGUAUCAAUUUGAUACUGUAACUCAAAACACCAAGAAAUUCCAAAGUCUCUAGCCAAAUUGCCACCCCCUCCACUCACAAGAAAGGAGGAACCCUUAAAACUAAAUUCUUUUAAAUGAGAUGAAAAAAUACACUGACUCAAGAAAGAUAGUGUAGAAGGCCAUAUUUCAAUUCAGUUAUGACACAAGGUAAAUUAGUUGCAGCAAUUACCACUGGAAACACACUAACCAGAGUCAACAGGAGCAACACGGCCAAUAGCUGACUCCCCAAAAUCUGGGUCUAAAACUUCUUCAGACUUGUUCUCAUCAAGAGGGACAGUUCUUACUUUAAAACUUGCUGGCAUCAACCCCUGCCCUGGACUAUAACAGUCGACUGUUUUCUCCCAACUCUGGAGUAAACAAGGCAAUGUAAGGGAAAUUGAACAAGAAGAAAUAGCACAUCUAGCAGAAAUAGUCCUCCAUACAUGCCCCAUCAAGAACAUGUAUGUUUUUCUAGCCAAUAAAUUAUAUUUGUCAUAUCAAAAGCAGCAAUAACAUUUUGUGCAGCGGCAACACCAACAUCCAUUAUGUAAUGAGGAAAAAAUCUACCAACAAGAUAUCCAGAAAAAAGGAUUCCCAUACACAUGUUUAGCAAAACAAGUACAGAGAAAUUCUGAAAACUAUGAAAAACCACCAAAAUUUUUGUGAGUCCCUGAUCAAUGCCAACUAUCUUAGUCUCGCUUCACAUUGCCCAUCUAAUUAUCUCAUAGUCACUGUACUAUACACCACUAGUCACAUUGAAACAGUAAGUUACAAAAAGAAAGAAAACAAAACAUGUAUGUUGCAGCUCGGUCUCUAGCAUCGAGAAUAAUUCAAGCAUUAACAGACAAUUGUACAACAAGUGCAAUAUACAAAAGCAGGUAACUCAUUCUAAUUGCUAAUGGUCAUGCACUCUAAGACAAUUAAAAAGCUUAAAAUCAAUGAUCAUCUAAAAUGAACAUAUUUGUUCUUACACUGGUAUAAUUCUGGUUUGUUUGCUAUUUUAUGUACAUUAAGACAUAAAUUUCAUUCGAUAUUUAAUCCCCAACAUAUGCAAAAGAAGAAUUGCAUUCUAGAAAGCAACCAAACAAAGCAAUACUUCAAGGAACAUCCCUUUUCUCAAUAAAAAAAGAACCAAAUUACAUAGGCAACAAAAUAAGCACACAUUCAAUUAAGAUUGAACAAUUAUAAUAAACCAACAACGUCAAAAGCAAUAAACAAUCACCUGCAAUUGCAGAGUAUGGAGGAGAAAAUUCCUGACAAUUUCCGAAUCUCCCUUGAGUAAAAAUGCAAGGGCAGAUGGAACAAAAUCCCUUAUAAACACCUGAUCAUAAUUGAGUGGCAACUUGUCAUUUGGAUCAUUGGCAGCCAGAGUCCCAACAGGGCUGCCACAAUACGAUACCACUGCAUUCUCUAACAACCUCCAAGCCUCUUUGUCCACCUCAGACUCCUCUCUGCCUACAUUUUUC
RNAcentral lists this long non-coding RNA (37026 nucleotides) under Coffea arabica (coffee). Its description in RNAcentral is "long non-coding RNA (CARA_LNC002011)". Lineage: Eukaryota; Viridiplantae; Streptophyta; Magnoliopsida; Gentianales; Rubiaceae. The record is from RNAcentral.